CUCGGCCCCAAGCCCCACCUCCACGCUGCCGUCCUGGAGCACAUCUUGCCACCCCAAAGGUGUGGCUGGCAAGAAUGCAAACCAGCCUGUGCAUUUACCGCGGCGGCGUGCGAUGGCAGCGGGUGGUCUACUUCUUUGACUCCGUGGCCUUUGCGGACCUCGUGAGGAUGUCACCCAUAUUGAUUCUUCUGGUGUUUUGAGGACGCAUGCUGUGUAUAUCUUCCCCCUGAGGAGGUUGAACCAGACAAUCUACUUGUUCCAUACUUAAUAACCUACUAAUGUAUGUAUACUUUAUUUCGCCUGGAGAAAGAGCACCUACCCGGGCUGCACCUGUGAUGGUGGCCUCGUGGUCCUACGAGUGCAGGAUCUGCCUGGACGAGUUCAAGAACGCCGGCAGGUCGGGCUGAGUGAACCUGCCCUGCCUGCACGCUGUUGCUGUCCGCAACGGGGCACUGUUGAUGUCGGUGGAGAGGAUACCACAAUCUUCGUCCCUCGCUGCUGGGCGUCCAGGAUGCAUCAGCAUCAAGUAACGGGGGAUGACAAUUCAGUUGUUUAUUCAGAAAAGUUCAACGCUUAGAGCUGUGGCACUUUUAAGCAUGCUAAUAAACGAGGACUAGGUGGGAUCAGGAGAGACUGGGGUAGCAGCUUGAACCUGCAGCUGCUGCCCACAGGAUGAUGCAUCGCUUGGAAGGAAGCUGGAAGACCCCGGGGACAAGCUCGGACGAACUUCCUUUCAAGCGCCUUGCUGAGUUCUGCAUAUAUCUGGAGAUCUUGACCACGGCGACGACUUGCUCCACUCACAACGCCGCUAAGGACAAGGACAACUACGAUUCAUAGAAAUGUAUAUCUCGCUGCUUUUUAUGACAAGUUGUGAGUUUUGGUGCUGCCCAUACUUUCAGAUAUUAGGCUUUUGCUGCAUUCAUAGGGCUUCUGUCAUCAUUGUUCACCUUUUCCUUUUAAAUGUAAAAUAUGUUGUAUGCAUAGUCUAGAUGUAUGCAACCUGUUGAAACUUGUAUGCUUACCCUGUGCCAUGGAUAUGUGUCGUAGUGUGAUUGAAUGCAUGAUUUCCUUGUCCUUUUUUGUUCAAGCUUUGCCUGCCAUGGAUGCAUGCUCUGUCCUUGCCUGUUGCAUCUAACCGUUGCGAAUUUAGCUUGCUGGUUGGAGUGUUUGGUUCCGGUAACCUGAAGUUCUAGUUCUCAUUGAUCUCUUUUUAAUUGGUGAUUGUUAGUGUUAUCUUGCGACAUAAUAGCUCAAUAUUAUGCUUUUCUUGAUUAGUGUGUUCAUACUUAUUCUGUAGCUUAUGAAAGCUCAAAUAUCGUGCAUAGAUCUGACCAUCAUGUGUUUGUUCUUGUUGUUGGAGGAUACUGCGGAGGUUAUCUAUAUGCUGCUGGAGACCCGAUGCAUCACCUGGGAAGCUGGAAGACAUGAUGCUACCACCUCUUUGUAGCAGCAGCUUUCUAGCACGUUGAUGCUAAACACUUGGAUGCCAUUUAACGCAUGAACAGCCCAGGUUUCGGAUCUGGAAGUAUGUCCUAAUGCAGCGAUCUUGCAUUGUAUGUAACCAUCCUAUGAUGGGAUUGCAGAAACCUGCAUGAUGUGCAUCAGCUUUGCUUUGCAAGUUGUUCGUUAUCCGGCGUUGAGAAAAUUCUGGUUGAGUGUAUGUUGAUAUGUCACAUGGGUUGGGACUAUUGUUUUAGUUGUAGUCAUUGCUUGGUGUGCAGGUUUGGAUGUUCUAAAAAGCUUACAUUAGCUGAUCGACGUGUAAAACAGAUAAUGCUAAUUGUCCAUUCUUGAGCCAAGCAGGUUUUAUUCUGAAAUGUAAGUUUCUCGAUCA
Long non-coding RNA from Lolium rigidum, 1834 nucleotides. RefSeq lists it as uncharacterized. NCBI's taxonomy places the organism in Eukaryota, Viridiplantae, Streptophyta, Magnoliopsida, Poales, Poaceae. The record is from RefSeq and is a predicted model, not a curated record. The transcript has 7 exons.